UACGGAGGUGGCAAGCGUUGUCCGGAAUUAUUGGGCGUAAAGCGCGCGCAGGUGGUUUCUUAAGUCUGAUGUGAAAGCCCACGGCUCAACCGUGGAGGGUCAUUGGAAACUGGGGAACUUGAGUGCAGGAGAGAAGAGUGGAAUUCCACGUGUAGCGGUGAAAUGCGUAGAGAUGUGGAGGAACACCAGUGGCGAAGGCGACUCUUUGGCCUGUAACUGACACUGAGGCGCGAAAGCGUGGGGAGCAGACAGG
Molecule: ribosomal RNA, 253 nt
Filed under: uncultured bacterium
Lineage: Bacteria
Description: partial 16S ribosomal RNA
Rfam family: Bacterial small subunit ribosomal RNA
Source: RNAcentral